GAUGAAGAACGUAGUGAAAGGCGAUACUUGGUGUGAAUUGCAGAAUCCCGUGAACCAUCGAGUCUUUGAACGCAAGUUGCGCCCGAAGCCAUUAGGCCGAGGGCACGCCUGCCUGGGCGUCACACGUCGUUGCCCCCCCAUCUACUCCUUCGGGAUUGCGGGGGGCGGAUGAUGGCCUCUCGUGCGCCUCGUCGCGCGGUUGGCCUAAAUGCCAAGUCCUCGGCGACGCACGCCACGACAAUCGGUGGUUGCGAAACCUCGGUUGCCUGUCGUGUGCGGUCGUCGCGCAUCGAGGGCUCGAAAAAAUUGCCGGGCUUCGGCUCGACUUUCAACGCGACCCCAGGUCAGGCGGGGUUACCCGCUGAAUUUAAGCAUAUCAAUAAGCGGAGGA
Molecule: unclassified non-coding RNA, 391 nt
Filed under: soil metagenome
Description: partial contains 5.8S ribosomal RNA, internal transcribed spacer 2, and large subunit ribosomal RNA
Rfam family: 5.8S ribosomal RNA (bases 1-122)
Source: RNAcentral